This 420-nucleotide ribosomal RNA is filed under the name bacterium. Its description in RNAcentral is "partial 16S ribosomal RNA". It matches the Rfam family "Bacterial small subunit ribosomal RNA", at positions 355 to 776 of the family's 1533-position model. The record is from RNAcentral.
UGGGGGAUAUUGCACAAUGGGCGAAAGCCUGAUGCAGCGACGCCGCGUGGGGGAUGAAGGCUUUCGGGUUGUAAACCUCUUUCGCUAUCGAACAAGGCCCGCUUAGGGUGGGUUGAGGGUAGGUGGAGAAGAAGCGCCGGCUAACUACGUGCCAGCAGCCGCGGUAAUACGUAGGGCGCGAGCGUUGUCCGGAAUUAUUGGGCGUAAAGGGCUUGUAGGCGGCUUGUUGCGCCUGCUGUGAAAACGCGGGGCUUAACUUCGGGCGUGCAGUGGGUACUGGCAGGCUUGAGUGUGGUAGGGGUGACUGGAAUUCCAGGUGUAGCGGUGUAAUGCGCAGAUAUCUGGAGGAACACAGAUGGCGAAGGCAGGUCACUGGGCCAUUACUGACGCUGAGGAGCGAAAGCAUGGGUAGCGAACAGG